UUUAUUAAUAAAUAUGUUAUUUUCAAUAAGCUAUGUAUUAUUAUGUACUAUACUCAUAAAUUACCCCUACUACUUGUAAUAUGAUUUUUAUCAACAAUAAAACCAUUGAUAAAGAAAAUUAAAACUCGUUUGAUACUAUGCUCCAAGUCAAGUAAGUAUUUGAAUACGAAUCCAAAUUUUAACUAUUUAUUUUGUAUUCGUACCUUAUAAUAUUCAUACUUGCAUCCAAAUUCGAAUUAAAAUGUGGUAAAUAGUGCUAUCCGAAUUUGAUUCCAUGCAUAUUCGAUCUGAAUCCAUCCCUUCGUACUAGAUUACAAAUGUUUGUUAGUUUUCCC
RNAcentral lists this long non-coding RNA (335 nucleotides) under Setaria viridis. Its description in RNAcentral is "long non-coding RNA (SVIR_LNC009184)". Lineage: Eukaryota; Viridiplantae; Streptophyta; Magnoliopsida; Poales; Poaceae. The record is from RNAcentral.